CGUGUCCUACGGGACGCAGCAGUGAGGAAUAUUGGUCAAUGGGCGGGAGCCUGAACCAGCCAAGCCGCGUGAGGGACGACGGUCCUAUGGAUUGUAACCCUCUUUUGUCGGGGAACAAAGGCGCCCACGGGUGGGCGGAUGAGUGUACCCGCAGAAAAAGCAUCGGCUAACUCCGUGCCAGCAGCCGCGGUAAUACGGAGGAUGCGAGCGUUAUCCGGAUUUAUUGGGUUUACAGGGUGCGUCGGCGGACAGUCAAGUCA
This 260-nucleotide ribosomal RNA is filed under the name uncultured bacterium. Its description in RNAcentral is "partial 16S ribosomal RNA". It matches the Rfam family "Bacterial small subunit ribosomal RNA", at positions 333 to 590 of the family's 1533-position model. The record is from RNAcentral.